Molecule: ribosomal RNA, 784 nt
Filed under: uncultured bacterium
Lineage: Bacteria
Description: bacterial SSU rRNA
Rfam family: Bacterial small subunit ribosomal RNA
Source: RNAcentral
GACGAACGCUGGCGGCGUGCCUAACACAUGCAAGUCGAACGGAACUGUUUUGAAAGAUUUCUUCGGAAUGAAUUUGAUUUAGUUUAGUGGCGGACGGGUGAGUAACGCGUGAGUAACCUGCCUUCAAGAGGGGGAUAACAUUCUGAAAAGAAUGCUAAUACCGCAUGACAUAUCGGAAUUACAUGAUUUUGAUAUCAAAGAUUUUAUCGCUUGAAGAUGGACUCGCGUCCGAUUAGUUAGUUGGUGAGGUAACGGCUCACCAAGACCGCGAUCGGUAGCCGGACUGAGAGGUUGAACGGCCACAUUGGGACUGAGACACGGCCCAGACUCCUACGGGAGGCAGCAGUGGGGGAUAUUGCGCAAUGGGGGCAACCCUGACGCAGCAACGCCGCGUGAAGGAUGAAGGUUUUCGGAUUGUAAACUUCUUUUAUUAAGGACGAAAAAUGACGGUACUUAAUGAAUAAGCUCCGGCUAACUACGUGCCAGCAGCCGCGGUAAUACGUAGGGAGCAAGCGUUGUCCGGAUUUACUGGGUGUAAAGGGUGCGUAGGCGGCUUUGCAAGUCAGAUGUGAAAUCUAUGGGCUCAACCCAUAAACUGCAUUUGAAACUGUAGAGCUUGAGUGAAGUAGAGGCAGGCGGAAUUCCCCGUGUAGCGGUGAAAUGCGUAGAGAUGGGGAGGAACACCAGUGGCGAAGGCGGCCUGCUGGGCUUUAACUGACGCUGAGGCACGAAAGCGUGGGUAGCAAACAGGAUUAGAUACCCUGGUAGUCCACGCUGUAAACGA